RNAcentral lists this long non-coding RNA (221 nucleotides) under Mytilus galloprovincialis (Mediterranean mussel). The record is from RNAcentral. Lineage: Eukaryota; Metazoa; Mollusca; Bivalvia; Mytilida; Mytilidae.
GGUUAAUAAAUGGGAAUUGAGAUGGUUGUUGUUUUAAGCCGUAACAGCAUCAGAAAAAAACAUAAACUAUUCAAAGCAUAAAUCAAAUGAAAUCCAUAUUUAUAGUAAAACUGACAUUUCAAAGCAUGAACUAUUGACUAUUGUCGAACAGCUUAAAGCUAUGCUAAACUUUAGGUCUAGGUAUCAUACGGGUUUGGUAUCGUUUGUUUGCUGUCUUAUUG